CAGCAUGAUGCUGCCACCACAAUGCUUCACUAGCUCCAUCUUUGAAACGAGCUGCUGGACCUUACCUUCUUCCUGGAAAACACUCGCCUGCCUGCCUGAACCUAAACUGCAUCAGAAGGACAAGAAACACAAAGAGCACCCAGCCAAACUUCACUUGUUCCUGCCAACCUUAGAUCCCGGCAGGUAUUCGGUACCUUCCUGAACUUCAUUCUUAAGCUUCAAAUAAGAAAACAAUUAGAUAUAAUCUACUCAUUCUUUUAUUCUCAUCAAGAAUCUUUAUUGUCACCAUGGGUUACCGUAAUAAAGCCAUCAGCUCAGAAUGCACACAGAUUACACAUUGACAACACAAUUCCUGGGAAGCUCAAACUGUGCAAAUACUUCUCAGCGUCAAAUAAGACUCACGUUCUAGUCAAAAGACUUUUAUAAACCAUGUAGAUUACUGUGCAGUUACAUAACUGUAUCACAUAAACGUUCAGUUGAUUGAUACACUGAUGCACACAGUAAAAACACUGUGCAAUUAAUUUAAAUUUACAAGUUACAGAACUGCGCAAUUUGCAUGGUGGUCCAACCAAACGUUCCCUGAGAAACUGAAGUGUGCAAAAAAACAUUAGAAUGUGGGAGACAGUGUAAAUAAUUCUCAUUGGAUCCAGAACUUGUGGAACCAGUAGUGUGUUUGUGAACAUGUAACCGAGCAGGGGGCGAUAGCCUUCACAGCUUUGGGAAAUAAGCUGCUUUAAGUGUUUCUUGUUUCUUCUAUUAGUCAUCUCAACAUAUAAAAUGCAAUUUAGUCCUACCAAGCACCAAUCCUCCAAAACACCGAGGAGAAAGAUCACAAUCUCUUGUGAAAUGAAACACUGUGUAUUUGUGGUCGAUUGAACGCCAGAGUCAAGCAGGCAGUCAUGACAUGAAAAUCCUCUUUCUAUUCAUCCAUGAUGGAGAAGUUUCCACGCAGGAAAAACAGCCUCUGGCCAAACUGUUGGGAUCUUGAAAUGACUGCCAGUGAAAAGCAUGGAGGGGUACUCUGUCCCAUCACUUCUGUCUCCCAUCAACUGAUAGGAUGGCAUUUAAUGUCCUUUAAAAACAAAUUCAAAGCAUA
This is a long non-coding RNA of Fundulus heteroclitus (mummichog), 1096 nucleotides long. RefSeq lists it as uncharacterized. The transcript is spliced from 4 exons. NCBI's taxonomy places the organism in Eukaryota, Metazoa, Chordata, Actinopteri, Cyprinodontiformes, Fundulidae. The record is from RefSeq and is a predicted model, not a curated record.